RNAcentral lists this unclassified non-coding RNA (148 nucleotides) under uncultured Xylariales. RNAcentral's name for it is "sequence contains ITS2". The record is from RNAcentral. Lineage: Eukaryota; Fungi; Ascomycota; Sordariomycetes; Xylariales.
CAACCCUUAAGCCUAGCUUAGUGUUGGGAGCUUACGGUCUCUGUAACUCCCUAAAGACAGUGGCAGAGCUAGAUCAUCUCUCAGCGUAGUAAUUUUAUCUCGCUUUUGUAGAAGGUCUAGUCCUCGCCAUAAACCAAUUAUUUUUUGU